GCCUUUACUGACGCUAAAGCUCGAAGGUGCGGGUAUCGAACAGGAUUAGAUACCCUGGUAGUCCGCACGGUAAACGAUGGAUGCCCGCUGUUUGCGAUAUACUGUGAGCGGCCAAGAGAAAUCGUUAAGCAUCCCACCUGGGGAGUACGCCGGCAACGGUGAAACUCAAAGGAAUUGACGGGGGCCCGCACAAGCGGAGGAACAUGUGGUUUAAUUCGAUGAUACGCGAGGAACCUUACCCGGGCUUGAACUGCAGGAGAACGAUACAGAGAUGUUGAGGUCCUUCGGGACUCCUGUGGAGGUGCUGCAUGGUUGUCGUCAGCUCGUGCCGUGAGGUGUCGGCUUAAGUGCCAUAACGAGCGCAACCCUUUUCGUCAGUUGCCAUCAGGUGAAGCUGGGCACUCUGGCGAUACUGCCACCGUAAGGUGUGAGGAAGGUGGGGAUGACGUCAAAUCAGCACGGCCCUUACGUCCGGGGCUACACACGUGUUACAAUGGGGAGUACAGAGAGUCAACCGCCGGCAACGUCGGUUUAAUCAAGAAAGCUCUCCUCAGUUCGGAUUGGGGUCUGCAACCCGACCCCAUGAAGCUGGAUUCGCUAG
RNAcentral lists this ribosomal RNA (601 nucleotides) under uncultured bacterium. RNAcentral's name for it is "bacterial SSU rRNA". It matches the Rfam family "Bacterial small subunit ribosomal RNA", at positions 733 to 1338 of the family's 1533-position model. The record is from RNAcentral.